GAAUAGAGGAAGAGUUUGGAUGUAGAUCUGAAUCCUGGUUUAUGAACUUUUUCCACCUAGAUCUCAAGGUAGGGAGUAAUGAUUUUUAAAUAAUAGAUGUAAUAUAAGGAAGAAGCAAAGAAUUUCCCUUCCAAGCUGUCACACAUAUGGUCAGGCAGUGACAGAUGAGGGAGGGAACAACUGGGACCUUUUACUUUCUAAUUUUGAUUUUGUAUUAAAACACAGAACAUCAUCUGAAUCUCACCUGCAGAUCUGUACUAAAGGAUGAGCCAGAGACAGAAUCACUGGGAUCUGCUCUUUGAACUGGGCUCUGCAGAAAGAAAGUUGCAGAUAUUGAACUUCAAAGCAAGAGAUAACUGAGAGAAAUAAAUGUUCCAAAUGGUGGAGUGUAUUCUGUAAGCACUUGGGAGACCAGCCUUAGUGAGAGACUGGAACAGAAACUGCACUGAAGUGAAAUAAUUGCUCAAGGGGUUGAUGUAUUUUCUGCAGGCACUCAUACGUCACCAGAGUUCUCUGGAAAUGGUUUGAAUUGCUUGUCUUCCAGACAUUUGGCAGAAAUCACAUGGAGAUGUGGGGGUGUUACAUCUGUUCAUGGCUAAGGAUGGCCUUCAGAAGAAGAUUUUUACUUGCCUUCUCAAAUCAUUUGGAGUUACAUCUGCUUCUUUGCAAGGAUGUUUCUCAUCUGGUGGAAGAAUUCAUACUGAAGCAAGAGACAGAAGCCUGGAAUCUUUAUUUGAUAUCAAAAAGUAAUGCUGGAAAAACUGCACUGAGGAAAGAGUCUUCAGAGACAUUU
Molecule: long non-coding RNA, 793 nt
Filed under: Zonotrichia albicollis (white-throated sparrow)
Lineage: Eukaryota; Metazoa; Chordata; Aves; Passeriformes; Passerellidae
Description: lncRNA (ENSZALG00000004294.1)
Source: RNAcentral